AAGUCGUAACAAGGUUUCCGUAGGUGAACCUGCGGAAGGAUCAUUACUGAGAGGUUACUAAGACUCUUGGGUUGGGUUUCUAUACUCUUCUCUUGAGUUUCCUCACGGUUUUGUGCAAUGUUGGGUCACCUUGGUUGACUCUGCCCUAAGUAAUUGGGCUGGCCUUUGGGGCCCCUAGUAUGAUUUAUCAUACUAACCCCAGAGGUUAAUUUCUACUAUGUCUAUGAAUUGAUGUAUGAAAAAGUUAUUUGUUAACUUGAAGGCUUUGCUGUAAAAAGUGAGUCUUUAAAAACAACUCUUGGCAAUGGAUCUCUUGGUUCUC
This 322-nucleotide unclassified non-coding RNA is filed under the name Lichtheimia ornata. Its description in RNAcentral is "partial internal transcribed spacer region". The stretch from base 1 to 46 matches the Rfam family "Eukaryotic small subunit ribosomal RNA", at positions 1786 to 1831 of the family's 1831-position model. The record is from RNAcentral. Lineage: Eukaryota; Fungi; Mucoromycota; Mucoromycetes; Mucorales; Lichtheimiaceae.